RNAcentral lists this ribosomal RNA (492 nucleotides) under uncultured bacterium. RNAcentral describes it as "partial 16S ribosomal RNA". It matches the Rfam family "Bacterial small subunit ribosomal RNA", at positions 29 to 507 of the family's 1533-position model. The record is from RNAcentral.
AGUGAACGCUGGCGGUAGGCCUAACACAUGCAAGUCGAACGGCAGCACAGUAAGAGCUUGCUCUUACGGGUGGCGAGUGGCGGACGGGUGAGGAAUACAUCGGAAUCUACUUUUUCGCGGGGGAUAACGUAGGGAAACUUACGCUAAUACCGCAUACGACCUACGGGUGAAAGCAGGGGAUCUUCGGACCUUGCGCGAUUGAAUGAGCCGAUGUCGGAUUAGCUAGUUGGCGGGGUAAAGGCCCACCAAGGCGACGAUCCGUAGCUGGUCUGAGAGGAUGAUCGGCCACACUGGAACUGAGACACGGUCCAGACUCCUACGGGAGGCAGCAGUGGGGAAUAUUGGACAAUGGGCGCAAGCCUGAUCCAGCCAUACCGCGUGAGUGAAGAAGGCCUUCGGGUUGUAAAGCCCUUUUGUUGGGAAAGAAAAGCAGCAGGUUAAUACCCCGCUGUUCUGACGGUACCCAAAGAAUAAGCACCGGCUAACUUCGUG